GAGACCGGCGCACGGGUGCGUAACGCGUAUACAAUCUACCUUUUACUAGAGGGAUAGCCCAGAGAAAUUUGGAUUAAUACCUCAUAGUAUUUUUGAAUCGCAUGAUUUGAUUAUUAAAGUUCCAACGGUAAAAGAUGAGUAUGCGUCCCAUUAGCUAGAAGGUAAGGUAACGGCUUACCAUGGCUACGAUGGGUAGGGGUCCUGAGAGGGAGAUCCCCCCACACUGGUACUGAGACACGGACCAGACUCCUACGGGAGGCAGCAGUGAGGAAUAUUGGACAAUGGGCGCAAGCCUGAUCCAGCCAUGCCGCGUGCAGGAAGAAGGUCCUAUGGAUUGUAAACUGCUUUUAUACAGGAAGAAACACUCCCUCGUGAGGGAACUUGACGGUACUGUAUGAAUAAGGACCGGCUAACUCCGUG
Molecule: ribosomal RNA, 420 nt
Filed under: uncultured bacterium
Lineage: Bacteria
Description: bacterial SSU rRNA
Rfam family: Bacterial small subunit ribosomal RNA
Source: RNAcentral